GAACGACUCUCGGCAACGGAUAUCUCGGCUCACGCAUCGAUGAAGAACGUAGCAAAAUGCGAUACUUGGUGUGAAUUGCAGAAUCCCGUGAACCAUCGAGUUUUUGAACGCAAGUUGCGCCCGAAGCCAUCCGGUUGAGGGCACGUCUGCCUGGGCGUCACGCA
Molecule: ribosomal RNA, 164 nt
Filed under: Tagetes patula
Lineage: Eukaryota; Viridiplantae; Streptophyta; Magnoliopsida; Asterales; Asteraceae
Also listed under: 3 other names
Description: 5.8S ribosomal RNA
Rfam family: 5.8S ribosomal RNA
About the family: 5.8S ribosomal RNA (5.8S rRNA) is a component of the large subunit of the eukaryotic ribosome.
Source: RNAcentral